This is an RNA transcript of Rosa chinensis, 1108 nucleotides long. RefSeq lists it as uncharacterized. NCBI's taxonomy places the organism in Eukaryota, Viridiplantae, Streptophyta, Magnoliopsida, Rosales, Rosaceae. The record is from RefSeq and is a predicted model, not a curated record. The transcript has 9 exons.
UGAAUCUCGAAUUUUUUUAUUGAAACUAAUUCUGGGUUCUGUAUUUUCUCUUCACCCGUAUCAGAUGGGUUUUGUAUUUUCUGGAGCAUAAUAGGGUAAUGUUCUGAUUUCUGUGAUUUCAGGAGUCUAUGCAAAGGAGUAUCUGGAUUGUUCUUUUGCCUCUAUUCCUGGUUUUGUUGCUUGGUGUUAGUUUGGUGUCCUAUUGUUAUUCUGAUAUUGGGAACAGUGAGCGAUCAAAAUCUACAAAUUUUCUGGACUCAGUGAUGGCAUCUACGAGCACAACGAAACUGGUUAAAAGAUUGUUGGAAGGAGUAUGUAAAUCUAAUCAAUUUGAUCAAGUUAAUUCAAAGAGAUGGAAAAGAAUAUGAAGCGAACUAUUGCACGAUACAACAAGGGUGAUGAGUCUUCAGAGACCGCUCUGGUAGAAUCAAGGGCCGAGAAAAAUUUCAAGACAUUUGACAAAAGCAUCAUUAUUAGGUGCAGGAGUGUCUGCAGUAGCAGCUCUUGCCAUGAUGUUUUUACUUUGGAAUGCCCUUGGAUUUUCAGUUAAUGCCAUGGAGAUUGGGGAAUAAGCUUGAGCUUGAGCUUCAUUGAAUUGCUAUGUCCUGCUCAUGAUGAGCUCAAGUUAGAACAUCAUUCACCAUAUGUAUGAGUUCAAAAUCCCUCUGCGAAUUUCAGCAUUGGUGGAUAACACACAGUCACAUCAUGAAAAGGAAAUUAAGAUAUACUAAGGGAUCCAUUCACUUCCCAAUUGUCAUGACUGAGACACAAAGAGGAAGACUUGAGAAAUACAAAGGCCACUUGAAUAGAUGAUGAUACUUGGAGCAUCUGUCAAAGAUCUGAAUGCCUUUGCUUGGCUAUCAAGAAGCUUGAAAAUACCUUUGCUCUCCCUUUAUAUAUGCUCUCUCCGGUUAGACAGUAAAAAUUGAGAGAGAACCACAAUUUGCUCUUAAAGGCUUGAAGAGUUGUUGAUCUAUUAUUUGUGCUAAUGAACUAAAAUGCUGUUACUUGAAUCAUAGAAAGUGAGGCCAAUGUUCCUCUCUUCACUUCUGUAAACAAUUCACUCACAAUUCUAACUCCCGCAGCAAUGCGCGGGCAAACAUUUCUA